Molecule: long non-coding RNA, 897 nt
Organism: Peromyscus californicus insignis
Lineage: Eukaryota; Metazoa; Chordata; Mammalia; Rodentia; Cricetidae
Exons: 3
Source: RefSeq, a predicted model, not a curated record
UGAGACAGGGUUUCUCUGUGUAGUUUUGGUGCCUGUCCUAGAUCUCGCUCUGUAGACCAGGCUGGCCUUGAAGUCACAGAGAUCCACCUGUCUCUGCCUCCCUAGUGCUGGGAUUAAAGGCGUGUGCCACCACCGCCUGGCACGAAUCCACCUUUUGAAAUCCAUCUGCUCUCUUAAUUUAGCCGGGCAGCAGGUACUCCUGUACACUGUUCCAUGCAACACGGUCUCCCUCUACUUCCUCUAUCUCAUCAGUUGGCUGCCUUCUCUCUACUUAUUUAUUCUUUUUAUUUUUCUCAGGACUCAGGAUCAAACUCGGGGGCCUUACAUAUGCUAGACUCAACCCACUGAACUCACUUUUGAAUCCUACAAAUUUAUUUAAUUCUCUCAACUUCCUUUUGUUCAUUUUGUCAAAUGGUUUUGUGUCUGAAGAGAAUCCUCUUAGUGAAGUCUCAGCCAAGAGAGAUAAUGAGUCCAUAAAAGUCCGUGUGCUCCACCUUGCCAGUCACGGACGCCUUCAGUUACCUUACCUGGGUUCUGUAGGAUGACAUAAUACAAGUGGAACUUGAAGUGAUUGGCCUGAUAUGAAUUCUUUCUCCUCUGCGUGGUCACCUGCUGUGGCUGAGUGGGAGCUGAAAAUCACUCUGCAGUCUUUGAACGGUGUCGCUUUACCUCACUGACAAGGCUAAGAGCUGCUGAAGACGUCACAAGCAUUUUCUGCUCCCUGGCCAGCUAACCACACCUUGAACCUAAUGGAGUCUCCUUUCCUCUGUACUAUGGCAAUGUUCCAGGAGAUCCAGCUCCCUCUCUGACCUCCACAGGCACCAGGCACAUACAGGCAAGAUACUGACACAGAAAAUAAAGAAACUCCAAAUGCCCUCUCCAGUCUGAAAACUGCCG